RNAcentral lists this unclassified non-coding RNA (343 nucleotides) under soil metagenome. RNAcentral's name for it is "partial contains 5.8S ribosomal RNA, internal transcribed spacer 2, and large subunit ribosomal RNA". The stretch from base 1 to 119 matches the Rfam family "5.8S ribosomal RNA", at positions 35 to 154 of the family's 154-position model. The record is from RNAcentral.
GAUGAAGAACGUAGCGAAAUGCGAUACGUAAUGUGAAUUGCAGAAUUCAGUGAAUCAUCGAGUCUUUGAACGCACAUUGCGCCCCCUGGUAUUCCGGGGGCAUGCCUGUCCGAGCGUCAUUGCUGCCCUCAAGCACGGCUUGUGUGUUGGGCCUCCGUCCUCCUCCCGGGGGACGGGCCCGAAAGGCAGCGGCGGCACCGCGUCCGGUCCUCGAGCGUAUGGGGCUUCGUCACCCGCUCUUGUAGGCCCGGCCGGCGCUUGCCGACACAUCAAUCUUUUUUCCAGGUUGACCUCGGAUCAGGUAGGGAUACCCGCUGAACUUAAGCAUAUCAAUAGCGGAGGA